This 490-nucleotide ribosomal RNA is filed under the name uncultured bacterium. RNAcentral describes it as "partial 16S ribosomal RNA". It matches the Rfam family "Bacterial small subunit ribosomal RNA", at positions 30 to 507 of the family's 1533-position model. The record is from RNAcentral.
AUUGAACGCUGGCGGCAGGCCUAACACAUGCAAGUCGAACGGUAACAGGAAGAAGCUUGCUUCUUUGCUGACGAGUGGCGGACGGGUGAGUAAUGUCUGGGAAACUUCCUGAUGGAGGGGGAUAACUACUGGAAACGGUAGCUAAUACCGCAUAACGUCGCAAGACCAAAGAGGGGGACCUUCGGGCCUCUUGCCAUCGGAUGUGCCCAGAUGGGAUUAGCUAGUAGGUGGGGUAACGGCUCACCUAGGCGACGAUCCCUAGCUGGUCUGAGAGGAUGACCAGCCACACUGGAACUGAGACACGGUCCAGACUCCUACGGGAGGCAGCAGUGGGGAAUAUUGCACAAUGGGCGCAAGCCUGAUGAAGCCAUGCCGCGUGUAUGAAGAAGGCCUUCGGGUUGUAAAGUACUUUCAGCGGGGAGGAAGGGAGUAAAGUUAAUACCUGUGCUCAUUGACGUUACCCGCAGAAGAAGCACCGGCUAACUCCGUG